This 301-nucleotide ribosomal RNA is filed under the name uncultured bacterium. Its description in RNAcentral is "partial 16S ribosomal RNA". It matches the Rfam family "Bacterial small subunit ribosomal RNA", at positions 509 to 807 of the family's 1533-position model. The record is from RNAcentral.
CAGCCGCCGCGGUAAUACGAAGGGGGCUAGCGUUGUUCGGAAUUACUGGGCGUAAAGCGCACGUAAGCGGAUAUUUAAGUCAGGGGUGAAAUCCCAGAGCUCAACUCUGGAACUGCCUUUGAUACUGGGUAUCUUGAGUAUGGAAGAGGUGAGUGGAAUUCCGAGUGUAGAGGUGAAAUUCGUAGAUAUUCGGAGGAACACCAGUGGCGAAGGCGGCUCACUGGUCCAUUACUGACGCUGAGGUGCGAAAGCGUGGGGAGCAAACAGGAUUAGAUACCCCCGUAGUCCCUGUCUCUUAUAC